GCCUAUACAUGCAGUCGAACGAGCUUCCGUUGAAUGACGUGCUUGCACUGAUUUCAACAAUGAAGCGAGUGGCGAACUGGUGAGUAACACGUGGGGAAUCUGCCCAGAAGCAGGGGAUAACACUUGGAAACAGGUGCUAAUACCGUAUAACAACAAAAUCCGCAUGGAUUUUGUUUGAAAGGUGGCUUCGGCUAUCACUUCUGGAUGAUCCCGCGGCGUAUUAGUUAGUUGGUGAGGUAAAGGCCCACCAAGACGAUGAUACGUAGCCGACCUGAGAGGGUAAUCGGCCACAUUGGGACUGAGACACGGCCCAAACUCCUACGGGAGGCAGCAGUAGGGAAUCUUCCACAAUGGACGAAAGUCUGAUGGAGCAAUGCCGCGUGAGUGAAGAAGGGUUUCGGCUCGUAAAACUCUGUUGUUAAAGAAGAACACCUUUGAGAGUAACUGUUCAAGGGUUGACGGUAUUUAACCAGAAAGCCACGGCUAACUACGUGCCAGCAGCCGCGGUAAUACGUAGGUGGCAAGCGUUGUCCGGAUUUAUUGGGCGUAAAGCGAGCGCAGGCGGUUUUUUAAGUCUGAUGUGAAAGCCUUCGGCUUAACCGGAGAAGUGCAUCGGAAACUGGGAGACUUGAGUGCAGAAGAGGACAGUGGAACUCCAUGUGUAGCGGUGGAAUGCGUAGAUAUAUGGAAGAACACCAGUGGCGAAGGCGGCUGUCUAGUCUGUAACUGACGCUGAGGCUCGAAAGCAUGGGUAGCGAACAGGAUUAGAUACCCUGGUAGUCCAUGCCGUAAACGAUGAGUGCUAAGUGUUGGAGGGUUUCCGCCCUUCAGUGCUGCAGCUAACGCAUUAAGCACUCCGCCUGGGGAGUACGACCGCAAGGUUGAAACUCAAAGGAAUUGACGGGGGCCCGCACAAGCGGUGGAGCAUGUGGUUUAAUUCGAAGCUACGCGAAGAACCUUACCAGGUCUUGACAUCUUCUGCCAAUCUUAGAGAUAAGACGUUCCCUUCGGGGACAGAAUGACAGGUGGUGCAUGGUUGUCGUCAGCUCGUGUCGUGAGAUGUUGGGUUAAGUCCCGCAACGAGCGCAACCCUUAUUAUCAGUUGCCAGCAUUCAGUUGGGCACUCUGGUGAGACUGCCGGUGACAAACCGGAGGAAGGUGGGGAUGACGUCAAAUCAUCAUGCCCCUUAUGACCUGGGCUAACACGUGCUACAAUGGACG
This 1221-nucleotide ribosomal RNA is filed under the name Levilactobacillus brevis. RNAcentral's name for it is "bacterial SSU rRNA". It matches the Rfam family "Bacterial small subunit ribosomal RNA", at positions 46 to 1236 of the family's 1533-position model. Lineage: Bacteria; Bacillati; Bacillota; Bacilli; Lactobacillales; Lactobacillaceae. The record is from RNAcentral.